AGUCAUAUGCUUGUCUCAAAGAUUAAGCCAUGCAUGUCUAAGUACAAGCCUCAUUAAGGUGAAACCGCGAAUGGCUCAUUAAAUCACACCUAAUGCACUGGACAGUCUCAGUUACUUGGAUAACUGCGGUAAUUCUGGAGCUAAUACAUGCUUAUUGUCCGCGACUCACGGAGCGGUGCUUUUAUUAGAUCAAAACCAAACGGCUCUCGGGCCGUCCCCCUGGUGAUUCUGAAUAACUUUUGGCUGAUCGCACGGCCUCGGUGCCGGCGACGUGUCCUUCCAAGGUGUGCCCUAUCAACUGUCGACUGUGGCAUAGACGCCCACAGUGGUUUUGACGGGUAACGGGGAAUUAGGGUUCGAUUCCGGAGAGGGAGCCUGAGAAACGGCUACCACUUCUACGGAAGGCAGCAGGCACGCAAAUUACCCACUGGCCGAAGGCCGAGGUAGUGACGAAAAAUAACGAUACGGGACUCAUCCGAGGCCCCGUAAUCGGAAUGAGUACACUUUAAAUCCUUUAACGAGGAACAAU
This 529-nucleotide ribosomal RNA is filed under the name uncultured eukaryote. Its description in RNAcentral is "SSU rRNA". It matches the Rfam family "Eukaryotic small subunit ribosomal RNA", at positions 22 to 548 of the family's 1831-position model. The record is from RNAcentral.